Molecule: regulatory RNA element, 148 nt
Rfam family: speF leader
About the family: This family is a putative regulatory RNA structure that is found upstream of the speF gene encoding ornithine decarboxylase in Agrobacterium tumefaciens and other alpha-proteobacteria.
Source: Rfam
CGCUGGUCCUCCAAAGACCAGCACCGAAGAGGCUUGUCCUUCAUUGCCGGGCGUGCGGGGUCUCCCCAAGCGACGGUUACCAGGGUCCGGACGUUUCGUUCGGUGAUGUGCGGCGUUUCCAACGCGUCGCGGAUCGCUCGACCGACUC